RNAcentral lists this ribosomal RNA (434 nucleotides) under uncultured bacterium. RNAcentral's name for it is "bacterial SSU rRNA". It matches the Rfam family "Bacterial small subunit ribosomal RNA", at positions 28 to 507 of the family's 1533-position model. The record is from RNAcentral.
GACGAACGCUGGCGGCAGGGCCUAACACAUGCAAGUCGAGCGAGACCUUCGGGUCUAGCGGCGGACGGGUUAGUAACGCGUGGGAACGUGCCCUUCUCUGCGGAAUAGCCACUGGAAGCGGUGAGUAAUACCGCAUACGCCCUUCGGGGGAAAGAUUUAUCGGAGAAGGAUCGGCCCGCGUUAGAUUAGAUAGUUGGUGGGUAACGGCCUACCAAGUCUACGAUCUAUAGCUGGUUUUAGAGGAUGAUCAGCAACACUGGGACUGAGACACGGCCCAGACUCCUACGGGAGGCAGCAGGUGGGGAAUCUUAGACAAUGGGCGCAAGCCUGAUCUAGCCAUGCCGCGUGUGUGAUGAAGGUCUUAGGAUCGUAAAGCACUUUCGCCAGGGAUGAUAAUGACAGUACCUGGUAAAGAAACCCCGGCUAACUCCGUG